CAAUCGGCUCUUUUCAGAGCCACCAGCCUCAAAUCUUGGAGAGGAUG
Molecule: non-coding RNA, 47 nt
Organism: Anopheles maculatus
Lineage: Eukaryota; Metazoa; Arthropoda; Insecta; Diptera; Culicidae
Source: Rfam